Molecule: long non-coding RNA, 4727 nt
Organism: Chinchilla lanigera (long-tailed chinchilla)
Lineage: Eukaryota; Metazoa; Chordata; Mammalia; Rodentia; Chinchillidae
Source: Ensembl
AGUGAAGCCCAGCCUCUAUCUGUCAGUCGAAGCUGGAUGAAGUCGGAAUUGCGGUCAGUGUUCCUCUGCUGUGCAGGAGAUAGGCUCGCACGGGAGUGUCUGGCAGAUGUAAAUAACAUCUGCAAAACAUCACGGACGCAUCCACGCAGCACAUGUCAUUAUCUCACGUUAUAGGAGCUGGCAGGACGGAAAGAAUGAAGGAGCAGCUGUGGAUGUGCAGAAAAUAGUAGCAUAUUCAGAGAAAUCAUAAACCAAGCCUUUUUUAUUUUUUAAAGCAGGUAUGACUCACAUAUUUUCCUUUUGAAGAACCUGGUUGUUCUUUGGGGAGGGACUAACUCCACGGGCAGUAAAUUCAGGAAAUACAGUCUCCUCGCCUGGAAAAUCUACAGUGCCUGUGUACAUUUUAAAAAGGGGAGGGCUGGGGAUUUAGCUCAGCGGCACAGCGCCUGCCUGGCAAGCGCGACGUCGUGAGUUCGAUUCCCGGUACCCGGGAGGGCAAACAGGGUAGGAAGAAAAAGAGUUUGAUUUUCACCGGCCUGGAGUUUCCCGCGGAGAUGCGCGCGCGGCCCGGUCCUUGACCCUCACUCCGCGCCCGGGUGCCCCGCGGCCGGUCCGCGCGGCUCUGCAGCACCGCCGCCUUCCGGAAGCGCCAGCCGGCGUGGGGCGAGCGCGUCAGAAUCAGAAGGUGACUUCAGGCGAGGCACCGGUUAGGAUCCAGGCGAGAAGCCGGGCAGCGGCCGGCCCAUUCUCUUGCCCAGAUGCUUGUGGAUCUGUGCAGAUGUGGCUUCAAAAGCCGGGUCACAAAGGGCUGCAGACCUGGGGAAAAGCAGGCAGAGCUAGGAAGAAAAGAAAGCGCAGGGACAAAAAGCAUCCCUGGCUCGUCCGUCUCUCGGCCACGCCCCCCUCGGGGUACCGCGGUGACAGUCUGUUUAUAUUUCGUUGCCUUUGAGACUGCGCGUGUUCGGGGCGCUGGCGUGGACUGCUUUGGGGACUGCGGAGGAAACAGACCCUGGAGACCAGAACCGGAGCGCGGAGAGCGCGGGGCGCCGGCGCGGCAGCCCCCGCCCCGUCUGCGAGGAGCAAGUCUCAUCGCGGCGCCGACGUCUCUAGCCUCCCUCGAAACUGUGCAAACCGCGCUUGGAGCAGAGAGCAGCUCUAGCUUCUCAGAGCCUUGGCGGGCGGAGCUCCGGGCUCGAGGCUGCGGGGUGAGGGCGUUUCCUGUGCUCCUCUGCCUUCCUCCCCUCCCCCUCCUCCCUCUCCCCUCCCUCCCUUCCUCCCUCCCUCCCUCCCUUUUUUUCUCUUUCUCUGUUUUUGUCUUCUGGAGACAGAGUUUCACUAUGGGGACAGGCUGGCCUGGAACUCAGAGCCAUCUCCUGCCUCAGCCUCCCUAGUGCUGGGAUUACAGGUGAGCGCCACCGCACCUGGCUCACAUGACUUCUUCAGCUGAAGCAAAUGUCAGCAUGAGAACUGUAAUCCAAGGAGAGCUGCACAAAGAGACGGGAAUGCUAUAUAGUAAAAAUCCUGGAACAAGGUGAAAGCAGUGUCCAGAGGAAAGGUAUCGCUUGAAAAUAUUAGAAACCGAUGUAAAAAUGGAUUAGUAGUGAACGUUUUAACCUAAGAAAGAUGAAAAAGAAUAACAUAAUAACAUCAGAGACUAGGAAAAAGGGCUGGGGAGCCAGGUGUAGCUGCACAUGCCUGUAGUCCCAGCGUUCAGGAGGCUGAGGCAGGAGGAUCCUUGUGAGUUUGAGACCAGUCUGCACUACAAAGUGAGCUCCAGGCUGGUCUGAACUGCACAGCAAGACCCUGUCUCAAAAAGACCCAAAAAAAAAAAAAAAAAAUGUGGGGGGCGCUGGGGAUAUAGCUCCCAGGCACAGAGCUUAUCUGGCAAGUGCAAGGUCCUGAGUUUGAUUCUCAGUGCCAAAAAUUUUAAAAAUUAAAAAACCUUAUAAAAAUAAAAUAACAUAAGUGCCUACCUUGUAAGUGCAAGGCCCUGAGUUUGAUUCCCGGGACAAAAUAAAAUAAACUGAAAAGGGCUGAAUUAAGUCAAGUGAAAAAACAAUCAAUGAACUAGAAAUGAAAUAGUGGAGCUGGGCGUGGUGGUGCAUGCAGGCCUCUAACCCAGCAUUCAGGAGGCUGAGGCAGGAAGAUCACCAUGUGUUCAAGGCCAGCCAGGGCUACAUAGUGAGUUGGAGGCCAACCUGUAUACACUACAAAGCAAGACCCUGCCUGAAAAAAAAAAAAAAACAAAGAAACAGAAAUAGACUUGAUUACUUUUCACAUGUGGAAGUUGAGGCUUAGAGGGCUCCCUAACUUUCUGAGGGCCAACAGGUAGCGAGGGGGCAGGCUAGGCCCGCCCUGCUCUCUGGGUGUGGCCAAGAGGCCCUCUUGGCCCUGGCGCAACUGCAGGCAGUGCCCGGGGACCCCUGGGGGGAUUCGCUCUUCUCAGCUGCCUGACCUGGGAAGGCCGUACGUAGGUCGCCAAGCCCAGCCAAGGUCUCUGCUAUGAGGCGCCCGGGACUGCCUGGUCCCUCCAAGUGACACAGCCAGCGAUCACCUGGUUGCGGUUGGGCUGGGACUUUCCUGGUUUGGGCACGAAAUUCCCAUGUCCUGGGAACCCCCUCAGCCCCGGGCACCCUGCAUGGCUCCUUCCUCCUGGGUCGCUCCCCAGGCUUGGGGCUUCCGGAACAUUCUGGCAGGAGGACGGGCCAGGCUGAGAAAGGGCCAAGCUGUCACCUGCACCACCUCCAGAGGGGGAGGAUUCCUGGUCCCCCUUGGGCAUGUGGCCCAAGAAGUGGAUUUUCCCUAGGGGAAUUUUUAUGCACACUGGAAGUUCAGAGAAUCAACCUUUCUCACUUGUAAAAUUCCAGGCCCAGGUCGGGAUCAGGAAACCAUGCUGCCGGGCGUGGUGGUGCAUGCCUGUAAUCCCAGCACUCAGGAGGCUGAGGCAGGAGGAUUUUUGCGAGUUUGAGGCUAGCCUGGACUACAAAGUGAGGUCAAGUCCAGCCUGAACUGCACAUCGAGACCCUGUCUCAAAAAGCCAAAAAAAAAAAGAGAAAAUCUCCACAAAAAUUUUGUCCCUGGGGAAGCCAUUCUUGAGGAUAUUUUUAAUUUUUAAUUAAUUAAUUAUUUAUUUAUAUUUUUGGUUUGUUUUUUUUUCCUGGUACCGGGAAUCGAGCUCACCACCUUGUACUUGCCAGGCAGGCGCUGUGCCGCUGAGCUAAAUCCCCAGCCCCUCUUGAGGAUAUUUUUUAGGACCCCAAUUUAAAAACCUCCUAGUAAGGACUUCUCAGUAGCUUUUAGAAUUUAGUAUCUGAAAAACAGAAUAAGGAAUUUGCAUUGGGUGCAGUGGCGCAGUGCUGUAAUCCUAGCUACUCAGGAGGGUGAGACAAGAGGACAUCAAGUUCAAGGCCAGCCUGGGUGAGCUAGUAGCACCCUGUAAUACAGCUCAUCGUGAGACCCUAGGCUCAACCCCGAUUAGUAAAAAUAUAAAGGAUCGGGGAUAUAGCUCAGUGGUGCAAGCGCCUGCCUAACAAGCGCGAGGUCAUGAGUUUGAUUCCUGGUACCACAAAAAAAAUUAAUGAAUAAAUAAAAAAAAUGGGGGCUGGGGAUUUAGCUCAGCGGCAAAGCGCCUGCCUGGCAAGCGCAAGGUCGUGAGUUCAGUUCCCGGUACCGGAGAAAAACCAAAAAUAAAUAAAUAAAUAAAUAAAUAAAUAAAUAAAAAUAAUAAAAUAAAAUUUAAAAAGAACCUGACUGUUUAUUUGCAGAUCUUUCCCCUUCAUGACUUGGCUAUCUGGAAAUUCCAACAGAAAAAUUUAAUCAUGGUUACUUUUGUUUAUUUAAAGUUUUUUUUUUUUUACCCAGCUGUUCCCGUUUUCUAGGUAUCUUCCCCAAAGAGCUAAAGAUAUCAUAGUACAACACACACACACACACACACACACACACACACACACACACGCCGCAGGUUUGCAACAGCACAGCUCAUAAUAACUAAGUCCCGGAAGCAGCCCAUAUGCCCAUCAACAGAUGAAUGGAUAUUAAAAAAGUGAGAGCCGGUCAUGGUGGUGUACGCCUAUAAUCCCAGCACUCAGGAGGCUGAGGCAGGAGGAUCAUUUCGAGCUCAAGGCCAGCCUGGGCUACAAAGUGAGUUCAAAACCAGCCUGAACUGCGGAGCGAGACCCUGCCUCAAAAAGACUGCCCCCCCCACCCAAAAAAGUGAUAUUCACAUACAAUGGAGUAGUACUUGGCUAUAAAGGAGGAUAAAUCUGAGACAUUUGUAGGGAAAUGGAUGCAGCUGGAAAAUACAAUGUUAAGUGAAAUAAAUCAGACACGCACGAUUACACACCACAGGAUAGCUCUCAUUUGAGUGAGGGGAAGUACAAACAAAGAGCAGAAAGCCAGGUGUGGUGGCCCACGCCUGUAAUCCCAGCAUUUGGGAGGCUGAGGCAGGAGGAUCACUGCGAGUUCAAGACCAAUCUGGGCUACAAAGUGAGCUCAAGGCCAGCCUGAACUGCAUAGGGAGACCCUGUCUCAAAAAGAUAAACAAACAAAUAAAAACGAAGAACAGAAUAAAGGACAGAUAGAAGAAGCAAGGGGGUAGAUCUCUUGCAAAUGGGAAAUUCAGGACACUGAGGGUGCCGGGUAGGGAAGAGUUCCGGGAACCCAAGAAGCUCAGUGAACAUAAACAUUGCAUGUCAGGAACUAGAGCAGAGAAUAACAGAAAGGCAUGG